RNAcentral lists this non-coding RNA (181 nucleotides) under Alishewanella agri. Lineage: Bacteria; Pseudomonadati; Pseudomonadota; Gammaproteobacteria; Alteromonadales; Alteromonadaceae. RNAcentral also lists the same sequence under 1 other name. The record is from RNAcentral.
UAGAAUGCGACCUGCUCUGGUGAGCAAGAUGCUUGAAAAGGGAAUCAGGUGUAAAACCUGAACUGUACCCGCAACUGUGAAACGCGCUGCAGCUAAUACCACUGUAUCAGUCUUGAUUACGGGAAGGUGGUUGUGGGUUAUCGCGUUAAGUCAGGAGACCUGCCAGACACUGAACGCUCUU